RNAcentral lists this ribosomal RNA (426 nucleotides) under uncultured Actinomycetes bacterium. Its description in RNAcentral is "bacterial SSU rRNA". It matches the Rfam family "Bacterial small subunit ribosomal RNA", at positions 233 to 671 of the family's 1533-position model. Lineage: Bacteria; Bacillati; Actinomycetota; Actinomycetes. The record is from RNAcentral.
GCGGCCUAUCAGCUUGUUGGUGAGGUAAUGGCUCACCAAGGCGACGACGGGUAGCCGGCCUGAGAGGGCGACCGGCCACACUGGGACUGAGACACGGCCCAGACUCCUACGGGAGGCAGCAGUGGGGAAUAUUGGGCAAUGGAGGAAACUCUGACCCAGCGACGCCGUGUGAGGGAUGAAGGCCUUCGGGUUGUAAACCUCUUUCAGUAGGGAAGAAGCGAAAGUGACGGUACCUACAGAAGAAGCACCGGCUAACUAUGUGCCAGCAGCCGCGGUAAUACAUAGGGUGCAAGCGUUGUCCGGAAUUAUUGGGCGUAAAGAGCUCGUAGGUGGUUCGAUACGUCGGAUGUGAAAAUCAGGGGCUCAACCCCUGACCUGCAUCCGAUACGGUCGAGCUAGAGUUUGGUAGGGGAGACUGGAAUUCCU